AUUUGUUUGAUCCUGCCAGUAGUCAUACUCUCGUCUCAAAGAUUAAGCCAUGCAUGUGUAAGUAUAAAUAGUUAGCUUUGAAACUGCGAAUGGCUCAUUAUAUCAGUUAUAGUUUAUUUGAUGAAGAAUACUAAUUGGAUAACCGUAGUAAUUCUAGAGCUAAUACAUGUAUAAAGUCUUGUAGACUGCAUUUAUUAGAAUGAAAACCAUAGGUUUCGGCCUAUUCGUGAGUAAUAAUAACUAAUCAUAUCGUAUGCUUAUGUAACGAUGUGUCUUUCAAGUUUCUGCCCUAUCAGCUUUCGAUGGUAGUGUAUUGGACUACCAUGGCAGUAACGGGUAACGAAGAAUUUGGGUUCGAUUUCUGAGAGGGAGCCUGAGAGAUGGCUACCACAUCCAAGGAAGGCAGCAGGCGCGUAAAUUACCCAAUCCUGACACAGGGAGGAAGUGACAAUAAAUCACAAUGCGGAACAAUGUUUUGCAAUUGGAUUGAGAACAACGUACAAACCUUAUCUAUAAACAAUUGGAGGGCAAGUCUGGUGCCAGCAGCCGCGGCAAUUCCAGCUCCAAUAGCGUAUAUUAACGUUGUUGCAGUUAAAAAACUC
Molecule: ribosomal RNA, 602 nt
Filed under: Blastocystis sp.
Lineage: Eukaryota; Bigyra; Opalinata; Blastocystidae
Description: SSU rRNA
Rfam family: Eukaryotic small subunit ribosomal RNA
Source: RNAcentral